Protopterus annectens (West African lungfish) is the source of this 309-nucleotide long non-coding RNA. RefSeq lists it as uncharacterized. The record is from RefSeq and is a predicted model, not a curated record. NCBI's taxonomy places the organism in Eukaryota, Metazoa, Chordata, Ceratodontiformes, Protopteridae. The transcript is spliced from 3 exons.
CCUUCUGGCCUCCCUCCUUUUUACCUAGGUGACUCCUUCGUGAACAAGCCCCAUAGUACAUUUUAUAGAAAGGGACAAACCUCCCUGCUGAAACUAGUGGAAGACGCUGCCCUUUAAAGUUUAUGAAAAGGUGACUCCUUCGUGAACAAGCCCCAUAGUACAUUGUAUAGAAAGGGACAAACCUCCCUGCUGAAACUAGUGGAAGACGCUGCCCUUUAAAGUUUAUGAAAAGGUGACUCCUUCGUGAACAAGCCCCAUAGUACAUUGUAUAGAAAGGGACAAACCUCCCUGCUGAAACUAGUGGAAGAC